This is a long non-coding RNA of Homo sapiens (human), 683 nucleotides long. Ensembl annotates it as MAP9 antisense RNA 1. Its record names the gene MAP9-AS1. Lineage: Eukaryota; Metazoa; Chordata; Mammalia; Primates; Hominidae. The record is from Ensembl.
AUUCCUAGGACGAUCCUGGAGAGCAAAGAGACAGGAUCUCACUUUUUUUGCCCACUACUGGGCUCAAGCGAUCCUCCUGCCUCCAUCUCCCCAAGUGCUGGGAUUACAGCCAUGAGCCACCAUGCCCGGCCCCAGCUCGCAACUUUCUGUGUGACCUCAGAUAGGAGGUUCUUCAACUGACAGCUACACAUCCACCCCUGCUACUUUCUUCAUUGCCUCCACAGUUUCUAUAAGGAAAAGGCAAAAUCUUCAUACCUGCAGAAUUAGCGCCACAUAGAUGCUGCCAAAGGGUUUUCUGCCUGUGCCCUCUGGAGAGGUGACAUCACAUCCCCCACUGCACCAGGGCCCAUUGAGCAACACUUGGAGCAACCAAGGGGUGCCACACCAGAAUGUGGGGACCAGUGACUUCAGGGAUUGCUGGGAAGCAAGCCCCAAGGUCCCCAGGGCACCCUAGGGCCUUCCUUGGAAACUGUACUGCCCUCAAUGCUCUGGCAACAUGGUCCUGUGAUGAGAGUGCAGCCCAAGCAAUUUACAAAACACCUUCCGGGUUGCUCUUUCAUUGUCCUGGUGAAGAGUACAGUCCUGAUCCAUGUCUCCUGAUUCACAACCUUUGUGUUCUCUCCCACACUUUAUUUGUUAAAAUAUGGACAGGCUGAGAAGAAUAAAAAUUUCCCAAAUCUUUA